RNAcentral lists this ribosomal RNA (958 nucleotides) under Lentinus squarrosulus. RNAcentral describes it as "LSU rRNA". It matches the Rfam family "Eukaryotic large subunit ribosomal RNA", at positions 32 to 978 of the family's 3401-position model. The record is from RNAcentral. Lineage: Eukaryota; Fungi; Basidiomycota; Agaricomycetes; Polyporales; Polyporaceae.
AUCUAGCAUAUCAAUAAGCUGAGGAAAAGAAACUAACAAGGAUUCCCCUAGUAACUGCGAGUGAAGCGGGAAAAGCUCAAAUUUAAAAUCUGGCGGUCUUUGGCCGUCCGAGUUGUAGUCUGGAGAAGUGCUUUCCGCGCUGGACCGUGUAUAAGUCUCUUGGAACAGAGCGUCAUAGAGGGUGAGAAUCCCGUCUUUGACACGGACUACCAGUGCUUUGUGAUGCGCUCUCAAAGAGUCGAGUUGUUUGGGAAUGCAGCUCAAAAUGGGUGGUGAAUUCCAUCUAAAGCUAAAUAUUGGCGAGAGACCGAUAGCGAACAAGUACCGUGAGGGAAAGAUGAAAAGCACUUUGGAAAGAGAGUUAAACAGUACGUGAAAUUGCUGAAAGGGAAACGCUUGAAGUCAGUCGCGUCUGCCGGAACUCAGCCUUCCUUUUGGUUGGUGCACUUUCUGGUAGACGGGCCAGCAUCGAUUUUGACCGUAGGAUAAGGGCUGGAGAAAUGUGGCACCUUCGGGUGUGUUAUAGUCUUCAGUCGCAUACUACGGUUGGGAUCGAGGACCGCAGCGCGCCGCAAGGCAGGGGUUCGCCCACUUUCGCGCUUAGGAUGCUGGCAUAAUGGCUUUAAACGACCCGUCUUGAAACACGGACCAAGGAGUCUAACAAACCUGCGAGUGUUUGGGUGGAAAACCCGAGCGCGUAAUGAAAGUGAAAGUUGAGACCUCUGUCGUGGAGGGCAUCGACGCCCGGACCUGACGUUCUCUGACGGAUCCGCGGUAGAGCAUGUUUGUUGGGACCCGAAAGAUGGUGAACUAUGCCUGAAUAGGGUGAAGCCAGAGGAAACUCUGGUGGAGGCUCGUAGCGAUUCUGACGUGCAAAUCGAUCGUCAAAUUUGGGUAUAGGGGCGAAAGACUAAUCGAACCAUCUAGUAGCUGGUUCCUGCCGAGUUUCCCCUCAGAA